Molecule: small nuclear RNA, 104 nt
Organism: Zalophus californianus (California sea lion)
Lineage: Eukaryota; Metazoa; Chordata; Mammalia; Carnivora; Otariidae
Source: Ensembl
GUGCUCCCUUUGGCAACACAUAUACUAAAAGUGGAAUGAUGCAGAAAUUAGCAUGGCCUCUGCACAAGGAUGACAGGCAAAGUCAUGAAGUGUUCCAUAUUUAA